UCGCCUCUCAGGUUCAAGCAAUUCUCCUGCCUCAGGCUCCUGAGUAGCUGGGGUAACAGUUGAGGAAACAGGUUAAACAAUUUCCCAAACUCAUCAGUGGGGAAUCAUAAAGAUACUAAGAAUACAGGAAGAAACAAAAACCAGGAACCUUGCCUCGUAACCAUCUCCUUUCUCAGGCAGGGUCUUGCUCUGUCACCCAAGCUGGAGUGCAGUGGUGUGAUCGCAGCUCACUGCAACCUCUAACUCCUGCAAUCCUCCUCUUCAGCCUCUGAAGUAGCUGGGUCUACAAGCACAUACUACCAUGCUCUGCUAAUGCCCAGGAAUCAAAGCCUUAAACGAAGACUCAACUGUUUAUCUGGAGCUGGUAGAGCAGGUUUGCGCAUGAAGUCACACCCAGUUGGCAUCGGAGAGGCCCGAGAGCCUGUGUGCUGGAGAACUGAGCCAAUUCCUACUCCCACCCGAUUUCUGGCAGGUGUCAACCUGCCCUUUACAAAGUCUCAGCAGAUGCACUGCUUACAAGAUGUUUCAUGUCAACGUAAAGUCUUUAUAGGGGACCAGUCCCAUCCUGCCUGAGAUUCUACUACCCUGAAGCCUCCCUGGGACAUCCUGUGAGAGACUGAUUAUCCUCUUCAGUGGUAGGCUGAAGCUCUCCCAUACUCAGGUACAUUUCUCAUUCCCAGGACAACUAAACCAGCUCUUUUUCCAUCCUCGUAGCAAAUGACACUGAAAAGGACCUGGCCUACACUAAGACGCAUGAAGUCUGGCGAUUUUUAAAUCCAGCUGCAGAUGUAACCAACAAGUUAAAUACUGUCUGACAGGAGUGCUUCAUCUUUAAAAUCCUUGCUGUGCACCACACUACUGCUUCUUUGUGGACUUUUGUCCACAAAGGUCCUUUGGUUCAGUUUGUUGAUACACGCUCAGAGAUUUCAAUUAAAUGUGGUUUUUAAUAAUCCUCAUGCUGUCAUGC
Molecule: long non-coding RNA, 967 nt
Organism: Piliocolobus tephrosceles (Ugandan red Colobus)
Lineage: Eukaryota; Metazoa; Chordata; Mammalia; Primates; Cercopithecidae
Exons: 5
Source: RefSeq, a predicted model, not a curated record